This is a non-coding RNA of Thozetella sp. PMI_491, 96 nucleotides long. Lineage: Eukaryota; Fungi; Ascomycota; Sordariomycetes; Chaetosphaeriales; Chaetosphaeriaceae. The record is from the annotation of a GenBank genome assembly.
GCCUUCGUGGCGCAAUGGCAGCGCGUUAGACUUCUAAGCUAUGUAAAAUGACUUAGUGGUAUCUAAAGGCUGCGAGUUCGAGUCUCGCCGUAGGCU